GAAAAAUUAGUUAAGCCAUAAUAUAAGCCUGUCACGCUUAAGUUAUCAAUUAAAUUUGAUAUUUUUCA
This 68-nucleotide transfer RNA is filed under the name Metapenaeus intermedius. RNAcentral describes it as "tRNA-Asp". Lineage: Eukaryota; Metazoa; Arthropoda; Malacostraca; Decapoda; Penaeidae. The record is from RNAcentral.